GGGGUUGUGGCUCAUUUGGUAGAGCAUUUGCUCAGCAUGCAGAAGGUCCAAGGUUCGAUUCCUGGCAUCUCCA
Molecule: non-coding RNA, 73 nt
Organism: Eublepharis macularius
Lineage: Eukaryota; Metazoa; Chordata; Lepidosauria; Squamata; Eublepharidae
Source: the annotation of a RefSeq genome assembly